Molecule: long non-coding RNA, 395 nt
Filed under: Nicotiana benthamiana
Lineage: Eukaryota; Viridiplantae; Streptophyta; Magnoliopsida; Solanales; Solanaceae
Description: long non-coding RNA (NBEN_LNC028605)
Source: RNAcentral
GCGCGUAAGCGCUGAUGACGUUGAGAACGCAACCCCCAAUAACCAACUUAAUAGACAUUAACCUAUCAUUCACUCGCCUAACCUCGACCACGGACUCCCUUAGGUCCCUAUCUACCAGAUGCCUACUCCAUUCUUAUCUCUCAUGACCCCAGAAUACCACAACUUAAACCCAUCUAUAUUCCUCUCCUUCGACCCUACGGACUUCCUUAGAUCCCUAUCAACCAAGAUGCCCACUCAUUUCUUACCUUUCACGACCCCAGAAUACCACAGCUUAAACCCGUCUACAUUCCUCGCCUUCGACCCUUUCCACCUAGUCUCCUGGACACUGGCUAUGUUAACCCUCCUCUUCUGAAGAACCUUCGCCAGCUCAAUGGAAUUACCCGUCAGAGUGCCUA